This 253-nucleotide ribosomal RNA is filed under the name uncultured bacterium. Its description in RNAcentral is "partial 16S ribosomal RNA". It matches the Rfam family "Bacterial small subunit ribosomal RNA", at positions 524 to 776 of the family's 1533-position model. The record is from RNAcentral.
UACGAAGGGGGCUAGCGUUGCUCGGAAUCACUGGGCGUAAAGCGCACGUAGGCGGAUUGCUAAGUCGAACGUGAAAUCCCCGGGCUCAACCCGGGAACUGCGUCCGAUACUGGAAGGCUUGAAUCCGGGAGAGGGAUGCGGAAUUCCAGGUGUAGCGGUGAAAUGCGUAGAUAUCUGGAGGAACACCGGUGGCGAAGGCGGCAUCCUGGACCGGCAUUGACGCUGAGGCGCGAAAGCCAGGGGAGCAAACGGG